ACGGUCUGAAAGUCACCUCCGGUCUCCCGUGGCCCUGGUGAGAUAACUGUGCCGACAGCACGAGGAGCAUUAAGCUUAUUGCCCACGGCCAUGUGUGGGGAGUAAAACCCAUGUUCCUACAAGC
RNAcentral lists this small nucleolar RNA (124 nucleotides) under Anas platyrhynchos platyrhynchos (common mallard). Its description in RNAcentral is "Small nucleolar RNA ACA64 (ENSAPLG00000019133.1)". It matches the Rfam family "Small nucleolar RNA ACA64". Lineage: Eukaryota; Metazoa; Chordata; Aves; Anseriformes; Anatidae. The record is from Rfam by way of RNAcentral. RNAcentral also lists the same sequence under 1 other name.